UGUCAGCACCCAGUUUCCAUGUCACCGACUUUCCAUUGGCUGGAAAAGAAGCAGCUCUUUGGCAAAUGCUGUUUGCUGGAUGGCAGGGUCUGUGUCCCACCUGCUGUGCCCUACUGGCUGCUGUUGAUGACAGAACCUGUCCAAAAGCAACUAUACAUGGGGAACACUCUGCUGGGAGUCAGCUCACACUUCACAUUUUUUUUCAUGCUAUUGAAGCCAGGGAGCAAUUGACUAGGCCAGAUAUGUGUCAGAGGGUGAAGCAGCCAGGAGGCAAAGACUUACCUUUUCUUGGCAGUGGCUUCUUUGCUGGAGCCUUGUCCGCAGCAGCUUCUCUUUCCUCCCACCGUCUGAUCUGUUCCUGCCUCAUCUUGAAGAAGAGGAUCUGUUUCUGCUCCUCGCUGAGUUCUGCCAGCAGUGAAGUGAAACAAAAUUGCCAAGCCCACCUGAAAUCAGUGCAGCCAAAGGUAAUGGCUUCCCAAACCUUGCUCUCAGUGCACAAGUCUUCAUGGGUUAACUGUUACACAUUGCUCAUAAAAUGCACUUUUGUCAGGAAGUAUUUAUGUUAGCAGCUGUACCAGCAAGGUUACUACCAAAAUAUCCUUCUGUGCUUUGGGGUUGGGUUGUUGGUUUAUUUGUUUUGUUCUUGUUUGGGUUUUUUUUUUAAUCCUCAUCCUGUUCUAAAUAGGGAAAUGAUUCAUUCCUCUCUUUCAGUUUAAUUUUACUUCAGCCUACUGUUUUCUGUUUCAGAUGAAAGGAAAACUAGUUUGGUCAUAAGGAAAACAUGACUGCAUAAGCUUGGCACCCAGAAGACAGAACUAGACCUGUUUGUAUCUUAGAAUCGUAGAAUUGUAGAAUGGUUUGGGUUGGAAAGGACCUUAAAGAUCAUCUAGUCCCAACCUUCCUGCCAUAAUCAGGGACAUUUUCCACUAGACCAGGUUGCUCCAAGUCCCAUCCAACCUGGCUUUGAACAAUUUCAGGAAUGGGGCAUCCACAUCUUCUCUGGGCAACACAUUCCAGUGUCUCUCCGUCCCCACAGGGAAGAAUUUCUUCCCAAUAUCUAAUCUAAACCUGCCUUCUGUCAGUUUGAAGCCAUUCCCCUUUGUCCUGUCACAACAUUCUCUUGUCCAAAGUCUGUCUCCAGCUCUCCUGUAGCCCUUUUAGAUGCUGGAUUCUGAGUAACGCUGGCAUAUAAUGCUUGAAAGAACAAACUUGCCCUAUAGGCCCUUGAUCUUCCUGGAGGGAGCAGUGGUUAUCUUAUAGCAGGUACAAAUGGAUGGAAACGGCAACAAGGAAAAAUAAUUUGAUACAGCAGCAGCCACUGAACACAGUUCGAGGCCCCAGGGCUCUAUGUUCAAGAAAAAAGUUGUCUUCCUUGCUAGAAUAGUGUGCAAACAUUUCUUGAUCAUCUUCCUAUAUUAAAGUUACUGAGGGAAUUACCAGUGUGGUGAAAAGGGUGAGGGCUUCUAUAGGUUAACACAUAGGAUCAGAGACUCAACCAAACUCAGCCACUGUAAGAAAGGAGAUUUUUUUCUAGGCAUGGCACAUAAUUUAAUUUAUAGUUCUGUGCAGAAAGGGGUGAUCUGUGGUAAAUUCCCAAAUCCAGCACCCCAAGACACAAAAAAGCAGGCCUACUUAUACAGUUACAAUCUUAGGCUAUUAGCAUAUCUCACUGAAGUCACUACUUGGCUAAGUUGUUAUUGGCUCAUUCUUUCUCUGCUUUGAAUUAAAGCCAUUGUGUCCCA
Long non-coding RNA from Myiozetetes cayanensis, 1742 nucleotides. RefSeq lists it as uncharacterized. The transcript is spliced from 3 exons. NCBI's taxonomy places the organism in Eukaryota, Metazoa, Chordata, Aves, Passeriformes, Tyrannidae. The record is from RefSeq and is a predicted model, not a curated record.